UAUCUUAUAUUUUUUCAAAGAAUUUUUAUAACAAAAAAAUCUAUCAAAAUCGACUUGUUGAAAUCCGUUAAAAUCGAUAAAACCUUCGUUUUACGAGGAAAGUGGUUGAAAUCUUUGCUAUUCUGAAAAAAAUAGUUUGUAGCGAAGUUUGUCAAAGUUUGUUAAAGGAUAUUACUUUGGAGGUAAAUAUGGAAUUUAACAAACAUAAUUUGUAUUUAGAGAUUAUUGGUUGUAAAAUGUUUGUAAAUUGAGGAAAAAAUACAAAAAAAUACAAGCUUAAACAAACAUUUUACAAAUUUUUGCAAGCAAAUUUUAAUAAAUUUGGAAGAACAACCUUUUUACAAACUUUACAAAAAUGUUUGUAUGCUGGUUUGUUUAUAAAAUCAAACAUUUUUGAUAAUGUUUGUUCAAAAGUUUGUUAUUUUGGUGCAUUUACAAGCUUUAUCAAACUUUUUUGAAAAAGUUUGUUAUUUUGUUAAAGUUUAAUUAGAGUGACGCCGUUUAAGGAAGGUGUAAAAAAAAACGAUAAAAUGGAUAUUUUGUGAAAAUCAUUAAUGAUUACGUAAAGAUUUCCCAACUGUAUACCUUGUGCGUACAGUUUGAAGUUCCUGGGGCAUCUAUGUCAUUAAAUGAUAACGUGAUAACGAGAUGAUUGAGGAGUUCCUUGGACAGCGACUUAA
Long non-coding RNA from Lutzomyia longipalpis, 680 nucleotides. RefSeq lists it as uncharacterized. Lineage: Eukaryota; Metazoa; Arthropoda; Insecta; Diptera; Psychodidae. The record is from RefSeq and is a predicted model, not a curated record. The transcript is spliced from 2 exons.